AACGCGAAGAACCUUACCUGGGCUUGACAUGUUGGUGACCGCCGUGGAAACACGGUUUUCCUUCGGGACACCAUCACAGGUGGUGCAUGUCUGUCGUCAGCUCGUGUCGUGAGAUGUUGGGUUAAGUCCCGCAACGAGCGCAACCCUCGCCUUUAGUUGCCAGCGGUUCGGCCGGGCACUCUAGCGAAACCGCCUCGGAUAACGGGGAGGAAGGUGGGGAUGACGUCAAGUCCUCAUGGCCUUUAUGUCCAGGGCUACACACGUGCUACAAUGGCAGGUACAGAGGGAAGCCAACGUGCGAGCGGGAGCCAAUCCCAGAAAGCCUGUCGUAGUCCGGAUCGGAGUCUGCAACUCGACUCCGUGAAGCCGGAAUCGCUAGUAAUCGCGAAUCAGCAUUGUCGCGGUGAAUACGUUCCCGGGUCUUGUACACACCG
RNAcentral lists this ribosomal RNA (434 nucleotides) under uncultured bacterium. RNAcentral describes it as "bacterial SSU rRNA". It matches the Rfam family "Bacterial small subunit ribosomal RNA", at positions 958 to 1392 of the family's 1533-position model. The record is from RNAcentral.